RNAcentral lists this long non-coding RNA (352 nucleotides) under Olea europaea (common olive). RNAcentral's name for it is "long non-coding RNA (OEUR_LNC000548)". The record is from RNAcentral. Lineage: Eukaryota; Viridiplantae; Streptophyta; Magnoliopsida; Lamiales; Oleaceae.
GAGAGACAACAUAAUAAAUUAUUAAUUUAAAGAACGUAAAAAAAAAAAAAAGUAAUGACGUUAAAUAUGCAAAGAACAUUUAAUAAUCAUCAUAAACAUAUAUUUUAUAACCAUAAAAAAUUAGAGCAAAGAGUACAUUAAUUAAAGUUUGAAUUAGAAUAGAUACAAGUUUAUGUGUGGCAACGAUGGAUAGAAAAUUCUUUACAAAUUGACUCUUUACAUGGCACAUUAUGUGGCAGGCAAAUUAUGGAAGAAUUAUGGCAAGUAAAUACACAAAUUAACGAUUGUUCAUGCACGAUUGUGCAAACAGAGAAAAAGUUUACAUGUUACUAAAUUAAUUUUAGUACACUUG